Molecule: long non-coding RNA, 260 nt
Filed under: Elaeis guineensis (African oil palm)
Lineage: Eukaryota; Viridiplantae; Streptophyta; Magnoliopsida; Arecales; Arecaceae
Description: long non-coding RNA (EGUI_LNC017190)
Source: RNAcentral
CCUCACCCUCGACGGCAUGCCUGCAAUUUCAACAAAGGAUUAGCAUAAGUCCAAAGACGGAUAAAGAAGACAAAAACGUCCAACUGACCAAACAAUACCUAAAUGGGGAACCAAAGUUAGGCCAGCAUCAUACAGAGCUUGCUCGGUGACGAGCUCCCUCUGCUUCGGUACUGACACAUCCUUCAGUCGGUGAAAAUCCUCUCAGUCUCCAGCCUCCACUCAACUAUUUUCAUUCGACUGAGUCCGAGGGUCGCCCCAGC